AUGGCCUCAUCCGCCGCCACCUCCUCCCCUCUCUCCGGCCAGAUCACCGAGCGCCUUACCCGCACCAACUACGUCCUUUGGCGCACUCAGAUCACGCCGCAGCUGAGAGGAGCUGGAGUCUUCGGGUACGUCGACGGAAGCAUGGCGGAGCCGGCCGAGUUCGUCGUCAGCAAGGACAAGGAUGGAAAGGAGGCAACCAUCCCCAACCCACUCCAUGCCGUCUGGUUCCGAGAGGAUCAGCAGGUACUCGGUUAUCUCUUGAAUAACCUGUCCAAAGAGGUGCUAGUGCAGGUCACCUCCAUCGCGCACGCACGCGAACUCUGGACGGCGCUGGCGAGCAUGUUCUCGUCAACGUCGCUGUCCCGCAUCAACAACAUCCGAGCCACCCUCACCAAU
This 396-nucleotide ribosomal RNA is filed under the name Triticum aestivum (bread wheat). Its description in RNAcentral is "partial small subunit ribosomal RNA". Lineage: Eukaryota; Viridiplantae; Streptophyta; Magnoliopsida; Poales; Poaceae. The record is from RNAcentral.